Molecule: ribosomal RNA, 452 nt
Filed under: uncultured bacterium
Lineage: Bacteria
Description: bacterial SSU rRNA
Rfam family: Bacterial small subunit ribosomal RNA
Source: RNAcentral
UACGGGAGGCAGCAGUGGGGAAUAUUGCACAAUGGGCGCAAGCCUGAUGCAGCCAUGCCGCGUGUAUGAAGAAGGCCUUCGGGUUGUAAAGUACUUUCAGUCGUGAGGAAGGUGUUAAGGUUAAUAACCUUAGCAAUUGACGUUAGCGACAGAAGAAGCACCGGCUAACUCCGUGCCAGCAGCCGCGGUAAUACGGAGGGUGCGAGCGUUAAUCGGAAUUACUGGGCGUAAAGGGCACGCAGGCGGUUAAUUAAGUUGGAUGUGAAACUCCCCGGGCUUAACCUGGGAAUGGCAUUCAAGACUGGUUAGCUAGAGUCUUGUAGGAGGGGGUAGAAUUCCAUGUGUAGCGGUGAAAUGCGUAGAGAUGUGGAGGAAUACCGGUGGCGAAGGCGGCCCCUGGACAAAGACUGACGCUCAUGUGCGAAAGCGUGGGGAGCAAACAGGGAUUAGAU